ACGGGUGAGUAACGCGUGGCCAAUCUGCCCUGUACACACGGAUAACAUACCAAAGGGAUACUAAUACGGGAUAACAUAUGAAAGUCGAAUGUUUUUUGUCCACAGCUCCGGCGGUACAGGAUGGACCCGCGUCUGAUUAACUAGUUGGUACGGUAAUGGCUUACCAAGGCAACGAUCAGUGGCCGACCUGAGAGGGUGAUCGGCCACACUGUAACUGAGACACGGUCCACACUCCUACGGGAGGCCGCAGUGGGGAAUAUUGCACAAUGGGCGAAAGCCUGAUGCCGCAACGCCCCGUGAUCGAAGAAAGCCUUCGGGUCGUAAAGCUCUGUCCUCAAGGAACAUAAUGACGGUUCUUGAGGAGGAAGCCCCGGCUAACUACGUGCCAGCACCCGCGGUAAUACGUAGGGGGCUAGCGUUAUCCGGAAUUACUGGGCGUAAAGGGUGCGUAGGUGGUUUUUUAAGUCAGAAGUGAAAGGCUACGGCUCAACCGGAGUAAGCUUUUGAAACUAGAGAACUUGAGUGCUCGAGAGGAUAGUACAAUUCCUAGUGUAGCGAUGAAAUGCGUAUAUAUGAGGAAGA
Molecule: ribosomal RNA, 582 nt
Filed under: Paraclostridium bifermentans
Lineage: Bacteria; Bacillati; Bacillota; Clostridia; Peptostreptococcales; Peptostreptococcaceae
Description: bacterial SSU rRNA
Rfam family: Bacterial small subunit ribosomal RNA
Source: RNAcentral